AACGAACGCUGGCGGCAGGCCUAACACAUGCAAGUCGAGCGCCCCCUUCGGAGCACAGCAAUCAGCGGUCAGCAGACAGCGAUCAGAGUGGUCUGAUUGCUGACGGGCUGACUGCUGAUAGCUGUUUUCCGAUGGGGGAGCGGCGGACGGGUGAGUAACGCGUGGGAAUUUUCCUCAAGGUACGGAACAACUCAGGGAAACUUGGGCUAAUACCGAUGAUGCAGAGAUGCCAAAGAUUUAUCGCCUUGGGAUAAGCCCGCGUCAGAUUAGGUAGUUGGUGGGGUAACGGCCUACAAGCCUGCGAUCUGUAGCUGGUCUGAGAGGACGAUCAGCCAC
Molecule: ribosomal RNA, 336 nt
Filed under: uncultured bacterium
Lineage: Bacteria
Description: partial 16S ribosomal RNA
Rfam family: Bacterial small subunit ribosomal RNA
Source: RNAcentral